Molecule: ribosomal RNA, 253 nt
Filed under: uncultured bacterium
Lineage: Bacteria
Description: partial 16S ribosomal RNA
Rfam family: Bacterial small subunit ribosomal RNA
Source: RNAcentral
UACGGAGGAUCCAAGCGUUAUCCGGAUUCAUUGGGUUUAAAGGGUGCGUAGGCGGAAUGAUAAGUCAGUGGUGAAAGCCUGCAGCUUAACUGCAGAACUGCCAUUGAUACUGUCAAUCUUGAGUACAUUUGAUGUGGGCGGAAUGUGUCAUGUAGCGGUGAAAUGCUUAGAUAUGACACAGAACACCGAUUGCGAAGGCAGCUCACAAAACUGUAACUGACGCUGAGGCACGAAAGCGUGGGGAUCAAACAGG